GCAAACUCUCAGACGCCCCGGGAGAAAAAGCGCUUCCAUCCUCGUUUCACUUUCAACUUGGUCGCUUCUGGGACUUCACUGGAGGGCCGUGGAGUUGCACCAGCCCGGACUACAGGCAGAUCCGAGCGAGCACUUCCAAGUACUUUAGGACGCGGGGGUGACUCCUUUUUCCUUCAGGAUUGUCCCAUUUGCCACCCUUUCCUGCUGAGUGCCCGGACUGAGGCAGGGAGGAGACUCACUUAAGCCAGCUGUAAGAAGUCAAGAAGUCAAGGUUGGGAACGGAACGAGGUUCAGAUAUCAUCCCGGCAUGUUUUUAAAGAAAAGCUGGGAGGAGGAGGGUGUCUGCUUGAGAAAGACAGAAUCAACCUUUCCUUAACGUGGGCGGUAUUGUUGCUUAACUUUUCAGUCUGCUUGCAGGUUGCAAAUCCUACCAGGCUCAAGCACCCUCUUUCGGUUUACUUUUGCCUUCCUGUGUAUUAUGCAUUAUAUUUGAAAGUGCUUUCCACUACUGUCCCCAUUUCACCCCAACAAUCUCUCCCAAAGCCAGAUACCUUUCAUUCUCCAGGUAGGGUAUUUGUUCUUUUCCCUCCUACACAAGCUGAUUAGAGUGUGCAAAGAGAGAGGAAGAAGCAAGCUUUGUUUUGUGUGAUUGUCACUAGAAAGUGGCAAGACCUUGAGGAAGAGGCCAGGAUAUUCUUCCCCAAAGGAUGCGAGAGCUAACGGAAGAUUCUCUUUAUUUUAUUCCUCCGGGGAGAUCCAAAACUAGAAUGUUUACAAGAACAAUUUCUAGUUUGCUUAAAUAAUUCUUGUUAUUAGCCAACUCUGAAGUUGGUAUACUUCUAAGAAUUCAAGCAAGUUCCUUGUAGAAUAGGGUUCCUUUACACAUUAGCAUUUAAACAGAAGCCUUUUUUUCUGUCAAUAAUUUAACUUGACUUUUUCCUCAAUAGGAAAUCUGCCUCGACUUUCUUAAUGUGUCCCCAGAUUUACUGUGUAUGCCAAAUUACUUUUAAAAUAACAUCAACUUACUCUUUCUCCCAGAUCAUUUUUCUGAGGACCAAUGGUCAUAAGUGUUGGAUUGCCUAUUUCCCCAGAAUAAUCCAGGAUUUGGAAAGCAAAAAAAAAAAAGUAUUUUGCUAAUUUCAGACAGUUAAUGGAAAUGUGAAUGUUUAACAGUUAAAAUGAUAAAUACCAAAAGAUAACAUGGAGUUUUGUUUUGUUAUAUUGUUAUUUGAGUUUCUUCUAGCAUAGUAAAAGCUAUGAUCCACUCUAAAA
Molecule: long non-coding RNA, 1272 nt
Organism: Carlito syrichta (Philippine tarsier)
Lineage: Eukaryota; Metazoa; Chordata; Mammalia; Primates; Tarsiidae
Exons: 2
Source: RefSeq, a predicted model, not a curated record